Molecule: non-coding RNA, 239 nt
Filed under: [Ruminococcus] lactaris
Lineage: Bacteria; Bacillati; Bacillota; Clostridia; Lachnospirales; Lachnospiraceae
Description: Ruminococcus lactaris T-box sequence
Rfam family: T-box leader
About the family: Uncharged tRNA acts as the effector for transcription antitermination of genes in the T-box leader family. T-boxes are found upstream of many aminoacyl-tRNA synthetase genes and some amino acid biosynthetic genes usually in Gram-positive bacteria.
Source: RNAcentral
CCAAAUUCGUUGAUGAGAACAAAGUCAUAUUCGAGAUUAUUUUCAGAGAGCCUGUGGGUGGUGUGAGCAGGUAAUAACCGGAUAAGGAUAUCCUCUCUAAGAAGCGGGCUGAAAGCGUGAUGCACGUCAGUAAACCUCGCCGGUAUCCACCGUUAUAUGGAUAGCAUAUGCUGGUAUGUGAAGAGCCGCAGAUUUUUUGCGGAAUCAGGGUGGUAACGCGGAUUAUAUUCGUCCCUUUU